UCCCUGGUAGUCUAGUGGUUAAGACCCCCACACUCCCACUGCAUGAGGCCCAGGUUCAGUUCCUGGUCAGGGAA
Molecule: transfer RNA, 74 nt
Filed under: Capra hircus (goat)
Lineage: Eukaryota; Metazoa; Chordata; Mammalia; Artiodactyla; Bovidae
Also listed under: 1 other name
Rfam family: tRNA
About the family: Transfer RNA (tRNA) molecules are approximately 80 nucleotides in length. Their secondary structure includes four short double-helical elements and three loops (D, anti-codon, and T loops).
Source: Rfam by way of RNAcentral